CCUCCCUGUGCCUCAGGUUCUUGCAGAGUGGAAAUGCCCACUUCACAGAAUGGCUGUGGGUGUGGAUGAGACGAUGCAGUGGACGCUCCUGCCCAGCACCCAUGGGAGCUCACGAUGAUUGUGUUUACUGUUGGCUGCAAUAUGUCAUGACUUAUCAUGUGUGAUACUUGAGUGAAAAGGCAGCUGCGAGCCUGAGCUGACUCCUAUGAACCAGUCUUCUCCAGCAAUAGAACCUCCUUCAACUCGUGGUAGCCUAUACGCCAAGGGUGACAGACUGGAAAGCAGGAUCCACUGGUUCAUCUAUGGGAAAAGGAGGGGGAAUGAGAUCAAGGAUUGAGGACGCUAAUGGAGAUGGGGUUUCACCAUGUUUCCCAGGCUGGUCUUGAACUGCUAGACUCAAGUGAUCCACUUGCCUUGGCCUCCCAAAGUGCUGGGAUUACAGUAGAAAAGCAGUACUUCUGGUACUGGCUGGGGGUGGUGGCUCACACCUGUAAUCUCAGCACUUUGGGAGGCCAAGACAGGAGAAUUGCUUGAGUCCAGGAGAUUGAGACCAGCUUGGGCAGCCUAGGGAGACCCCCUCUCUACCAAAAAAAAAAAAAAAAAAAAAAGAAAAAAAAAAA
This 620-nucleotide small RNA is filed under the name Pongo abelii (Sumatran orangutan). Its description in RNAcentral is "processed transcript". The record is from RNAcentral. Lineage: Eukaryota; Metazoa; Chordata; Mammalia; Primates; Hominidae.